UACGGAGGAUCCGAGCGUUAUCCGGAUUUAUUGGGGUUAAAGGGUGCGUAGGCGGACUGAUAAGUCAGCUGUGAAAGUUUACGGCUCAACCGUGAAAUUGCAGUUGAUACUGUUGGUCUUGAGUAUACAUGAGGUGGGCGGAAUUUGUGGUGCAGCGGUGAAAUGCGUAGAUAUCAGAAAGAACUCCAAUUGCGAAGGCAGCUCACUGGGGUAUAACUGACACUGAGGCACGAAGGUGUGGGUAGCAAACAGG
This 253-nucleotide ribosomal RNA is filed under the name uncultured bacterium. Its description in RNAcentral is "partial 16S ribosomal RNA". It matches the Rfam family "Bacterial small subunit ribosomal RNA", at positions 524 to 776 of the family's 1533-position model. The record is from RNAcentral.